CCUACGGGAGGCAGCAGUGGGGAAUUUUGGACAAUGGGCGCAAGCCUGAUCCAGCAAUGCCGCGUGAGUGAAGAAGGCCUUCGGGUUGUAAAGCUCUUUUGUCAGGGAAGAAAAGGUAGCCUCUAAUACAGGCUGCUCAUGACGGUACCUGAAGAAUAAGCACCGGCUAACUACGUGCCAGCAGCCGCGGUAAUACGUAGGGUGCAAGCGUUAAUCGGAAUUACUGGGCGUAAAGCGUGCGCAGGCGGUUAUAUAAGUCAGCUGUGAAAUCCCCGGGCUCAACCUGGGAACUGCAGUUGAGACUGUAUGGCUAGAGUGUGUCAGAGGGGGGUAGAAUUCCACGUGUAGCAGUGAAAUGCGUAGAUAUGUGGAGGAAUACCGAUGGCGAAGGCAGCCCCCUGGGAUAACACUGACGCUCAUGCACGAAGACGGUGGGGAGGACGAAACGAAGGAGUUAAGUAAUACCCGUACGGUACGUACCGACCGACCCGUAAACCGUAACUAGUCUACUUAGUUAGGUUUGGGUUCGUUAAUUAGUACGUUA
Molecule: ribosomal RNA, 544 nt
Filed under: uncultured bacterium
Lineage: Bacteria
Description: bacterial SSU rRNA
Rfam family: Bacterial small subunit ribosomal RNA
Source: RNAcentral